This 466-nucleotide ribosomal RNA is filed under the name uncultured bacterium. RNAcentral describes it as "partial 16S ribosomal RNA". It matches the Rfam family "Bacterial small subunit ribosomal RNA", at positions 28 to 507 of the family's 1533-position model. The record is from RNAcentral.
GAUGAACGCUGGCGGCGUGCUUAACACAUGCAAGUCGAACGAUGAAGCCCAGCUUGCUGGGUGGAUUAGUGGCGAACGGGUGAGUAACACGUGAGUAACCUGCCCUUAACUCUGGGAUAAGCCUGGGAAACUGGGUCUAAUACCGGAUAGGAGCGUCCACCGCAUGGUGGGUGUUGGAAAGAUUUAUCGGUUUUGGAUGGACUCGCGGCCUAUCAGCUUGUUGGUGAGGUAAUGGCUCACCAAGGCGACGACGGGUAGCCGGCCUGAGAGGGUGACCGGCCACACUGGGACUGAGACACGGCCCAGACUCCUACGGGAGGCAGCAGUGGGGAAUAUUGCACAAUGGUCGCAAGCCUGAUGCAGCGACGCCGCGUGAGUGAUGACGGCCUUCGGGUUGUAAACCUCUUUCAGUAGGGAAGAAGCGAAAGUGACGGUACCUGCAGAAGAAGCACCGGCUAACUACGUG